ACCCAGAAAAUAGAAAAAAAAAAUAGCCAAAGCAUUUAAAUGAUUCAUUUCAACUGAAGUAUACUUAUAUGUAACUUUAAGCAAGUUUUCUUGAAGACAUUUUAGUAUUAUUAAGAAUUAUGGCUCCAGAAAUAUAAAAGGUACUUUGCUUCCAAAACAGCCCUCAUUGUCUCUUCCCA
Sphaerodactylus townsendi is the source of this 179-nucleotide long non-coding RNA. RefSeq lists it as uncharacterized. The transcript has 3 exons. Lineage: Eukaryota; Metazoa; Chordata; Lepidosauria; Squamata; Sphaerodactylidae. The record is from RefSeq and is a predicted model, not a curated record.